GAUGAACGCUAGCGGCAGGCUUAAUACAUGCAAGUCGAGGGGCAGCGCAGUGUAGCAAUACAUGGGCGGCGACCGGCAAACGGGUGCGGAACACGUACAGAACCUUCCUUCGAGCGGGGAUAGCCCAGAGAAAUUUGGAUUAAUACCCCAUAGUAUAGUGGAGAGCAUCUCUUACUAUUAAAGAUUAUCACUUGAAGAUGGCUGUGCGGCU
RNAcentral lists this ribosomal RNA (211 nucleotides) under uncultured bacterium. RNAcentral describes it as "partial 16S ribosomal RNA". It matches the Rfam family "Bacterial small subunit ribosomal RNA", at positions 28 to 238 of the family's 1533-position model. The record is from RNAcentral.